Molecule: non-coding RNA, 184 nt
Filed under: Lachnospiraceae bacterium
Lineage: Bacteria; Bacillati; Bacillota; Clostridia; Lachnospirales; Lachnospiraceae
Description: 6S RNA
Rfam family: 6S / SsrS RNA
About the family: E. coli 6S RNA was the first non coding RNA to be sequenced, but its function was unknown until recently.
Source: RNAcentral
CAAAGCCUGGAAUGUGCGAUCACCUGUUAUUUUCUGAACCUACACUUGACAUAAGGGAACCCUACAUCACCGAUCUCAAUGUCAGGCCCCAUCAACGUACAGGGGAAGGCAGCGAAUCGGGUGCGGAUACCCACCUGGCUUUGGCUAGGUGUCAGUCUCACAGGAACGGCAUUCCGGGAUUGAA